Molecule: ribosomal RNA, 511 nt
Filed under: uncultured bacterium
Lineage: Bacteria
Description: partial 16S ribosomal RNA
Source: RNAcentral
GGAGUUAGCCGGUGCUUCUUCUGCGAGUAACGUCACAGAUGUAAGGUAUUAACUUACACCCUUUCCUCCUCGCUGAAAGUGCUUUACAACCCGAAGGCCUUCUUCACACACGCGGCAUGGCUGCAUCAGGGUUUCCCCCAUUGUGCAAUAUUCCCCACUGCUGCCUCCCGUAGGAGUCUGGGCCGUGUCUCAGUCCCAGUGUGGCUGAUCAUCCUCUCAGACCAGCUAGGGAUCGUCGCCUAGGUGAGCCUUUACCUCACCUACUAGCUAAUCCCACCUGGGCUUAUCCAUCAGCGCAAGGCCCGAAGGUCCCCUGCUUUCCCCCGUAGGGCGUAUGCGGUAUUAGCAGUCGUUUCCAACUGUUAUCCCCCACAAAUGGGCAAAUUCCCAGGCCAUUACUCACCCGUCCGCCGCUCGUCAUCUUCAAAAGCAAGCUUUGAAAUGUUACCGCUCGACUUGCAUGUGUUAGGCCUGCCGCCAGCGUUCAAUCUGAGCCAGAAUCAAACUCUGA